CUCAGUUCGGACUGGAGUCUGCAACCCGACUCCACGAAGCUGGAUUCGCUAGUAAUCGCGCAUCAGCCACGGCGCGGUGAAUACGUUCCCGGGCCUUGUACACACCGCCCGUCAAGCCAUGGGAGCCGGGGGGUACCUGAAGUGCGUAACCGCGAGGAGCGCCCUAGGGUAAAACUGGUGACUGGGGCUAAGUCGUAACAAGGUAAC
RNAcentral lists this ribosomal RNA (207 nucleotides) under uncultured bacterium. RNAcentral's name for it is "partial 16S ribosomal RNA". It matches the Rfam family "Bacterial small subunit ribosomal RNA", at positions 1287 to 1500 of the family's 1533-position model. The record is from RNAcentral.